AUUGAACGCUGGCGGCAGGCUUAACACAUGCAAGUCGAGCGGUAACAGAUCUAGCUUGCUAGAUGCUGACGAGCGGCGGACGGGUGAGUAAUGCAUAGGAAACUGCCCAGUAGUGGGGGAUAGCCCGGGGAAACCCGGAUUAAUACCGCGUACGCCCUUCGGGGGAAAGCAGGGGAUCUUCGGACCUUGCGCUAUUGGAUGUGCCUAUGUCGGAUUAGCUAGUUGGUGGGGUAAAGGCCUACCAAGGCGACGAUCCGUAGCUGGUCUGAGAGGAUGAUCAGCCACAUCGGGACUGAGACACGGCCCGAACUCCUACGGGAGGCAGCAGUGGGGAAUAUUGGACAAUGGGGGCAACCCUGAUCCAGCCAUGCCGCGUGUGUGAAGCCCCGGGCUUAACCUGGGAACGGCAUUUCGAACUGUCAGGCUAGAGUGUGGUAGAGGGUAGUGGAAUUUCCUGUGUAGCGGUGAAAUGCGUAGAUAUAGGAAGGAACACCAGUGGCGAAGGCGGCUACCUGGACCAACACUGACACUGAGGUGCGAAAGCGUGGGGAGCAAACAGGAUUAGAUACCCUGGUAGUCCACGCCGUAAACGAUGUCAACUAGCCGUUGGGACUCUUGAAGUCUUAGUGGCGCAGCUAACGCACUAAGUUGACCGCCUGGGGAGUACGGCCGCAAGGUUAAAACUCAAAUGAAUUGACGGGGGCCCGCACAAGCGGUGGAGCAUGUGGUUUAAUUCGACGCAACGCGAAGAACCUUACCUGGCCUUGACAUGCAGAGAACUUUCCAGAGAUGGAUUGGUGCCUUCGGGAACUCUGACACAGGUGCUGCAUGGCCGUCGUCAGCUCGUGUCGUGAGAUGUUGGGUUAAGUCCCGUAACGAGCGCAACCCCUAUCCCUAGUUGCUAGCAGUUCGGCUGAGAACUCUAGGGAGACUGCCGGUGACAAACCGGAGGAAGGUGGGGAUGACGUCAGGUCAUCAUGGCCCUUACGGCCAGGGCUACACACGUGCUACAAUGGUGCGCACAGAGGGCUGCAAACCCGCGAGGGGGAGCUAAUCUCACAAAACGCAUCGUAGUCCGGAUCGGAGUCUGCAACUCGACUCCGUGAAGUCGGAAUCGCUAGUAAUCGUGAAUCAGAAUGUCACGGUGAAUACGUUCCCGGGCCUUGUACACACCGCCCGUCACACCAUGGGAGUGGAUUGCACCAGAAGUGGUUAGUCUAACCUUCGGGAGGACGAUCACCACGGUGUGGUUCAUGACUGGGGUGAAGUCGUAACAAGGU
This 1280-nucleotide ribosomal RNA is filed under the name uncultured Marinobacter sp. Its description in RNAcentral is "partial 16S ribosomal RNA". It matches the Rfam family "Bacterial small subunit ribosomal RNA". Lineage: Bacteria; Pseudomonadati; Pseudomonadota; Gammaproteobacteria; Pseudomonadales; Marinobacteraceae. The record is from RNAcentral.